CAGUCGCCGCGGUAAUACGAAGGGUGCAAGCGUUAAUCGGAAUCACUGGGCGUAAAGCGCACGUAGGCGGAUAUUUAAGUCAGGGGUGAAAUCCCGCAGCUCAACUGCGGAACUGCCUUUGAUACUGGGUAUCUUGAGUAUGGAAGAGGUUAGUGGAAUUGCGAGUGUAGAGGUGAAAUUCGUAGAUAUAGGAAGGAACACCAGUGGCGAAGGCGACUACCUGGACUGAUACUGACACUGAGGUGCGAAAGCGUGGGGAGCAAACAGGAUUAGAUACCCGAGUAGUCCCUGUCUCUUAUAC
Molecule: ribosomal RNA, 301 nt
Filed under: uncultured bacterium
Lineage: Bacteria
Description: partial 16S ribosomal RNA
Rfam family: Bacterial small subunit ribosomal RNA
Source: RNAcentral